This 504-nucleotide ribosomal RNA is filed under the name uncultured bacterium. Its description in RNAcentral is "partial 16S ribosomal RNA". It matches the Rfam family "Bacterial small subunit ribosomal RNA", at positions 30 to 523 of the family's 1533-position model. The record is from RNAcentral.
UUUGAACGCUGGCGGCAGGCCUAACACAUGCAAGUCGAACUGUAGCACAGAGAGCUUGCUAUUGGGUGACGAGUGGCGGACGGGUGAGUAAUGUCUGGGAAACUGCCCGAUGGAGGGGGAUAACUACUGGAACCGGUAGCUAAUACCGCAUAACGUCGUCGGACCAAAGAGUGGGACCUUCGGGCCUCACGCCAUCGGCUUGGCCCAGAUGGCAUUAGCUAGUAGGAGGGGUCACGGCUCACCUAGGCGACGAUCCCUAGCUGGGCUGAGAGGAUGACCAGCCACACUGGAACUGAGACACGGUCCAGACUCCUACGGGAGGCAGCAGUGGGGAAUAUUGCACAAUGGGCGCAAGCCUGAUGCAGCCAUGCCGCGUGUAUGAAGAAGGCCUUCGGGUUGUAAAGUACUUUCAGCGGGGAGGAAGGCGAUACGGUUAAUAACCAUGUCGAUUGACGUUACCCGCAGAAGAAGCACCGGCUAACUCCGUGCCAGCCGCCGCCGUAA